GGGGAAUUUUGGACAAUGGGCGCAAGCCUGAUCCAGCAAUGCCGCGUGCAGGAUGAAGGCCUUCGGGUUGUAAACUGCUUUUGUACGGAACGAAAAGCCUCUCUCUAAUACAGGGGGGUGAUGACGGUACCGUAAGAAUAAGCACCGGCUAACUACGUGCCAGCAGCCGCGGUAAUACGUAGGGUGCAAGCGUUAAUCGGAAUUACUGGGCGUAAAGCGUGCGCAGGCGGUUUUGUAAGACAGUGGUGAAAUCCCCGGGCUCAACCUGGGAACUGCCAUUGUGACUGCAAGGCUGGAGUGCGGCAGAGGGGGAUGGAAUUCCGCGUGUAGCAGUGAAAUGCGUAGAUAUGCGGAGGAACACCGAUGGCGAAGGCGGCCAACUGGCUCGAUACUGACGCUGAGGUGCGAAAGCGUGGGGAGCAAACA
RNAcentral lists this ribosomal RNA (426 nucleotides) under uncultured Comamonas sp. RNAcentral's name for it is "bacterial SSU rRNA". It matches the Rfam family "Bacterial small subunit ribosomal RNA", at positions 356 to 774 of the family's 1533-position model. The record is from RNAcentral. Lineage: Bacteria; Pseudomonadati; Pseudomonadota; Betaproteobacteria; Burkholderiales; Comamonadaceae.